CGGGCCCGCACAAGCAGCGGAGCGUGUGGUUUAAUUCGAUGUUACACGAAGAACCUUACAGGGUUUGACAUGCAAGUGGUAGGAAGCCGAAAGGUGACCGACCCUUCGGGGAGCUUGCACAGGUGCUGCAUGGCUGUCGUCAGCUCGUGUCGUGAGAUGUUCGGUUAAGUCCGCUAACGAGCGCAACCCUCGCUGUGUGUUAUAUGUGUCACACGGGACUGCCGGUCUUAAGCCGGAGGAAGGUGGGGAUGAUGUCAAGUCAGCAUGGCCUUUAUAUCCUGGGCUACACACACGCUACAAUGGCCAACACAAUAGGUUGCUAAGCCGCGAGGUGGCGCCAAUCCAUAAAGUUGGUCUCAGUUCAGAUUGUAGGCUGCAACCCGCCUGCAUGAAGAUGGAGUUGCUAGUAACCGCAGGUCAGCUAUACUGCGGUGAAUACGUUCCCGGGGCUU
This 452-nucleotide ribosomal RNA is filed under the name uncultured Leptolinea sp. Its description in RNAcentral is "bacterial SSU rRNA". It matches the Rfam family "Bacterial small subunit ribosomal RNA", at positions 917 to 1381 of the family's 1533-position model. Lineage: Bacteria; Bacillati; Chloroflexota; Anaerolineae; Anaerolineales; Anaerolineaceae. The record is from RNAcentral.